This 420-nucleotide ribosomal RNA is filed under the name Babesia occultans. Its description in RNAcentral is "SSU rRNA". It matches the Rfam family "Eukaryotic small subunit ribosomal RNA", at positions 537 to 1020 of the family's 1831-position model. The record is from RNAcentral. Lineage: Eukaryota; Apicomplexa; Aconoidasida; Piroplasmida; Babesiidae.
CAGAGUACCAAUUGGAGGGCAAGUCUGGUGCCAGCAGCCGCGGUAAUUCCAGCUCCAAUAGCGUAUAUUAAACUUGUUGCAGUUAAAAAGCUCGUAGUUGAAUUUCAGCGUUUCGCGUGUGCCUCUUUUGGCCCAUCUCGUCUCGCUUUUUUUAUUACUUUGAGAAAAUUAGAGUGUUUCAAGCAGGCUUUUGUCUUGAAUACUUGAGCAUGGAAUAAUAGAGUAGGACCUUGGUUCUAUUUUGUUGGUUUUGUUACCUUGGUAAUGGUUAAUAGGAACGGUUGGGGGCAUUCGUAUUUAACUGUCAGAGGUGAAAUUCUUAGAUUUGUUAAAGACGAACUACUGCGAAAGCAUUUGCCAAGGACGUUUCCAUUAAUCAAGAACGAAAGUUAGGGGAUCGAAGACGAUCAGAUACCGUCG